This 236-nucleotide long non-coding RNA is filed under the name Linum usitatissimum (flax). RNAcentral describes it as "long non-coding RNA (LUSI_LNC000517)". Lineage: Eukaryota; Viridiplantae; Streptophyta; Magnoliopsida; Malpighiales; Linaceae. The record is from RNAcentral.
CCGGUGUGGUGAAACAGUUCGUUUAUCUGGUUCAACGGCAUUAGACGUUAUCAGUUUAGUGAACAGUAUAAGAAAGUUGUUAAGCUAUGAUACUGACCACAAAGGAAGAAAAGUUGGGACUCUAACCUAAUUCUUUCUUAGGCAUUGUGCUGGUAAACGAAAAUGUUGAAGAUCGUUGAGGAAUUCGUGGAGAAGGUGAUGGUGAAACACCUUUGCUGCAUCAUGUUUGUAUCAUC